RNAcentral lists this ribosomal RNA (435 nucleotides) under uncultured Pedobacter sp. RNAcentral's name for it is "bacterial SSU rRNA". It matches the Rfam family "Bacterial small subunit ribosomal RNA", at positions 358 to 790 of the family's 1533-position model. The record is from RNAcentral. Lineage: Bacteria; Pseudomonadati; Bacteroidota; Sphingobacteriia; Sphingobacteriales; Sphingobacteriaceae.
GGAAUAUUGGUCAAUGGAGGCAACUCUGAACCAGCCAUGCCGCGUGCAGGAAGACAGCCCUCUGGGUCGUAAACUGCUUUUAUUCGGGAAUAAACCUACUUACGUGUAAGUAGCUGAAUGUACCGAAGGAAUAAGGAUCGGCUAACUCCGUGCCAGCAGCCGCGGUAAUACGGAGGAUCCAAGCGUUAUCCGGAUUUAUUGGGUUUAAAGGGUGCGUAGGCGGCUUAUUAAGUCAGGGGUGAAAGACGGUGGCUCAACCAUCGCAGUGCCUUUGAUACUGAUGAGCUUGAAUGAACUAGAGGUAGGCGGAAUGUGACAAGUAGCGGUGAAAUGCAUAGAUAUGUCACAGAACACCGAUUGCGAAGGCAGCUUACUAUGGUUUUAUUGACGCUGAGGCACGAAAGCGUGGGGAUCAAACAGGAUUAGAUACCCUUG